This is a transfer RNA of Anncaliia algerae PRA339, 81 nucleotides long. It matches the Rfam family "tRNA". Rfam says of the family: Transfer RNA (tRNA) molecules are approximately 80 nucleotides in length. The record is from Rfam. Lineage: Eukaryota; Fungi; Microsporidia; Tubulinosematidae.
GACAGAAUGGCCGAGCGGUCUAAGGCGCUACGUUCAGGUCGUAGUCAUCAUAUGGCGCGGGUUCGAAUCCCGCUUCUGUCA